UAAACGACUCUCGGCAACGGAUAUCUCGGCUCUCGCAUCGAUGAAGAACGUAGCGAAAUGCGAUACUUGGUGUGAAUUGCAGAAUCCCGUGAACCAUCGAGUCUUUGAACGCAAGUUGCGCCCGAAGCCUUCGGGCCAAGGGCACGCCUGCCUGGGCGUCACGC
This 164-nucleotide ribosomal RNA is filed under the name Koenigia pilosa. Its description in RNAcentral is "5.8S ribosomal RNA". It matches the Rfam family "5.8S ribosomal RNA". Rfam says of the family: 5.8S ribosomal RNA (5.8S rRNA) is a component of the large subunit of the eukaryotic ribosome. It is transcribed by RNA polymerase I as part of the 45S precursor that also contains 18S and 28S rRNA. Lineage: Eukaryota; Viridiplantae; Streptophyta; Magnoliopsida; Caryophyllales; Polygonaceae. The record is from RNAcentral.